RNAcentral lists this ribosomal RNA (415 nucleotides) under uncultured bacterium. Its description in RNAcentral is "partial 16S ribosomal RNA". The record is from RNAcentral.
ACGGUUACCUUGUUACGACUUCACCCCACUCACGAACCCCGCCGUGGUAAGCGCCCCCCUUGCGGUUAGGCUACCUACUUCUGGCGGAACCCGCUCCCAUGGUGUGACGGGCGGUGUGUACAAGACCCGGGAACGUAUUCACCGCGACAUGCUGAUCCGCGAUUACUAGCGAUUCCGACUUCAUGCAGGCGAGUUGCAGCCUGCAAUCCGGACUACGAUCGGCUUUCUGGGAUUGGCUCCACCUCGCGGCUUGGCAACCCUCUGUACCGACCAUUGUAUGACGUGUGAAGCCCUACCCAUAAGGGCCAUGAGGACUUGACGUCAUCCCCACCUUCCUCCGGUUUGUCACCGGCAGUCUCGUUAAAGUGCCCAACUAAAUGAUGGCAAUUAACGACAAGGGUUGCGCUCGUUGCGG